UACUCCAGUCCUGAGGCCUGAAGUGUG
Molecule: non-coding RNA, 27 nt
Filed under: Rattus norvegicus (Norway rat)
Lineage: Eukaryota; Metazoa; Chordata; Mammalia; Rodentia; Muridae
Source: RNAcentral